ACGUUACCAGCUUUGUGUUAGACGAAACGAAAAUGCUUUGGUUUUGCACCGUGUUUUGAGACUGUCAGGGUGACAUGAUGGAUUAAUUGCUGUUUGACUGACAAUAAAUGAACAUGUUUGUGUUUGGAGAUUGCUGAGGUUAAUAGCUUCACAAUUGGGAAAUCCCAACAUAAGCUGACUGCCAGUUUGACCACUGAUCUGCAUAAUAUCAGUGGGAGAGCAUGCUGAAUCCCGUAGCUUCUGCACCAUAUGUUUCCUGGCCGAGUGGUUGAAAGUUGCGACCACACAUUCCAUGGGUGAUGAUAUCUACCAAAAUUCUUGGCGGCACAGUUCUACCCUCGUCAGUUGCACUUGUCCGAGUCUUUCUCUGCCUCUCAACCAACUCGAGAUAUUCCCCCCCCCCCCCAACUGCAUCCCGGCACAGCUUCACAUCAACCCAUCUAAUUAAUUUGUCGGAAAGGUUGACUACACAAAUUUCCUGUUUGGUUGUGGAGAUAGAAUCAUUUUUUUUGUGAAAGUUUGAUUUCAGACACUUAAAAAUUGAAAUUGUCAUGUAUUAUUAGGCAUGGCAGGCAUUAGCAAAGCAUCUCAAUCAAGUAUUAAUUAUGUUACUUUGU
Dreissena polymorpha is the source of this 617-nucleotide long non-coding RNA. RefSeq lists it as uncharacterized. NCBI's taxonomy places the organism in Eukaryota, Metazoa, Mollusca, Bivalvia, Myida, Dreissenidae. The transcript is spliced from 3 exons. The record is from RefSeq and is a predicted model, not a curated record.